This 443-nucleotide ribosomal RNA is filed under the name uncultured bacterium. RNAcentral describes it as "partial 16S ribosomal RNA". It matches the Rfam family "Bacterial small subunit ribosomal RNA", at positions 338 to 795 of the family's 1533-position model. The record is from RNAcentral.
CCUACGGGUGGCAGCAGUGGGGAAUAUUGGGCAAUGGGCGCAAGCCUGACCCAGCAACGCCGCGUGAAGGAAGAAGGCUUUCGGGUUGUAAACUUCUUUUCUGAGGGACGAAGAAAGUGACGGUACCUCAGGAAUACGCCACGGCUAACUACGUGCCAGCAGCCGCGGCAAUACGGAGGUGGCAAGCGUUAUCCGGAUUUGUUGGGGGUAAAGGGCGUGUAGGCGGGAAAGCAAGUCAGAUGUGAAAACUCAGGGCUCAACCCUGAACCUGCAGUUGAAACUGGUUUUCUUGAGUGCUGGAGAGGCAAUCGGAAUUCCGGGUGUAGCGGUGAAAUGCGUAGAUAUACGGAAGAACACCAGUGGCGAAGGCGGAUUGCUGGACAGUAACUGACGCUGAGGCGCGAAAGCGUGGGGAGCAAACAGGAUUAGAUACCCGGGUAGUC